UUGCUCUUCAACGAGGAAUGCCUAGUAAGCGCAUGUCAUCAGCAUGCGUUGAUUACGUCCCUGCCCUUUGUACACACCGCCCGUCGCUACUACCGAUUGAAUGGCUCGGUGAGGCCUUCGGACUGGCCCAGGGAGGUCGGCAACGACCACCCAGGGCCGGAAAGUUGGUCAAACCCGGUCAUUUAGAGGAAGUAAAAGUCGUAACAAGGUCUCCGUAGGUGAACCUGCGGAGGGAUCAUUACAAGUGACCCCCGGCUCCGGCCGGGGAUGUUCAUAACCCUUUGUUGUCCGACUCUGUUGCCUCCGGGGCGACCCUGCCUUUUCACGGGCGGGGGCCCCGGGUGGACACAUCAAAACUCUUGCGUAACUUUGCAGUCUGAGUAAAUUUAAUUAAUAAAUUAAAACUUUCAACAACGGAUCUCUUGGUUCUGGCAUCGAUGAAGAACGCAGCGAAAUGCGAUAAGUAAUGUGAAUUGCAGAAUUCAGUGAAUCAUCGAAUCUUUGAACGCACAUUGCGCCCCCUGGUAUUCCGGGGGGCAUGCCUGUUCGAGCGUCAUUUCACCACUCAAGCCUCGCUUGGUAUUGGGCGACGCGGUCCGCCGCGCGCCUCAAAUCGACCGGCUGGGUCUUCUGUCCCCUCAGCGUUGUGGAAACUAUUCGCUAAAGGGUGCCACGGGAGGCCACGCCGAAAAACAAACCCAUUUCUAAGGUUGACCUCGGAUCAGGUAGGGAUACCCGCUGAACUUAAGCAUAUCAAUAAGCGGAGGA
This 768-nucleotide ribosomal RNA is filed under the name uncultured fungus. RNAcentral describes it as "eukaryotic LSU rRNA". The stretch from base 1 to 241 matches the Rfam family "Eukaryotic small subunit ribosomal RNA", at positions 1593 to 1831 of the family's 1831-position model. Lineage: Eukaryota; Fungi. The record is from RNAcentral.